UUGGAGGGCAAGUCUGGUGCCAGCAGCCGCGGUAAUUCCAGCUCCAAUAGCGUAUAUUAAAGUUGUUGCAGUUAAAAAGCUCGUAGUUGAAUUUCGGGGUCAGCAGGUUAGUCGUGCCACUGGUAUGCACUGGCUUCGCUGAUUCCUCCUUUCUGAAGAACUGUAAUGCCAUUAAUUUGGUGUUGCAGGGAAACAGGACUGUUACUUUGAAAAAAUUAGAGUGUUUAAAGCAGGCUUUGGCUUGAAUACAUUAGCAUGGAAUAAUGAAAUAGGACGUUCGAUCCUAUUUUGUUGGUUUCUAGGAUUGACGUAAUGAUUAAUAGGGAUAGUUGGGGGCAUUAGUAUUCAAUUGUCAGAGGUGAAAUUCUUGGAUUUAUUGAAGACUAACUACUGCGAAAGCAUUUGCCAAGGAUGUUUUCAUUAAUCAAGAACGAAAGUUAGGGGAUCGAAGACGAUCAGAUACCGUCGUAGUCUUAACCAUAAACUAUGCCGACUAGGGAUCGGAUGAUGUUAAUUUUUUAAUGACUCAUUCGGCGCCUUACGGGAAAC
This 549-nucleotide ribosomal RNA is filed under the name uncultured Glomeromycotina. Its description in RNAcentral is "SSU rRNA". It matches the Rfam family "Eukaryotic small subunit ribosomal RNA", at positions 548 to 1098 of the family's 1831-position model. Lineage: Eukaryota; Fungi; Glomeromycota. The record is from RNAcentral.